AGCUCCAAUAGCGUAUAUUAAAGUUGCUGCAGUUAAAAAGCUCGUAGUUGCAUUUCCGAGGCAAGGGAUUAGUCCGACCUUUGGUGGGUAUUUAAUCCUCUUGCCUCGUCCUUGAGUGGUGCUUCUUGGUAUUAAGUUAUCGAGGAGAUAGCCGCUCAUCGUUUACUGUGAGAAAAUUAGAGUGUUCAAAGCAGGCUUAUGCCGUUGAAUAUAUUAGCAUGGAAUAAUAAGAUAGGACCUCGGUACUAUUUGGUUGGUUUGAGAACCAAGGUAAUGAUGAAUAGGGACAGUUGGGGGUAUUCGUAUUCAGUUGUCAGAGGUGAAAUUCUUAGAUUUUCGGAAGACGAACUACUGCGAAAGCAUUUACCAAGGAUGUUUUCA
This 381-nucleotide ribosomal RNA is filed under the name uncultured marine Chaetocerotaceae. Its description in RNAcentral is "SSU rRNA". It matches the Rfam family "Eukaryotic small subunit ribosomal RNA", at positions 587 to 972 of the family's 1831-position model. The record is from RNAcentral. Lineage: Eukaryota; Bacillariophyta; Thalassiosirophyceae; Chaetocerotales; Chaetocerotaceae.